GAAGGAUUUCAUGGUACUACACCAGAGAAUACAGAGAGGAUAGACACCACAGAUAGAUCCUGACCAUUCCCCAAGGAACAACUGCACAACUGGGCGAAGAUAUCCAGUACCCUCAUAGCAUUGCUCAACACAGAGAAGGCUGGACAGUGAAACCAUCAUCUGGAAACCAUUUAUGUUAGGGAACCUUUGAGACAUCAUCAGAUCUGAAACUGAUCAGUGGCGUGGAGCCUUCCAUCAGAACCAACCUUUCUGAAGGAUCGGCUGUGGGUGAUCAGUCAGAGUGGGGCUGGGAAGAAGUGUGAGUGGCUCCAAGCAUGGUGACAGUUUCAAUCAUUUGUCAAGCCUCAUGAACCACUGAUGCAUUUUUUAAGUUGAGAGGCUGUUUGAGUGUGAAGUGUAUGAAGAGGGCUCCACAAGUGCAUCUGUUAUACACUAAUGACAGAACAACAGCUUCAUGGAAGAUAAACCAUUCAAGUGUGAGAUGUGCGAUCGAGCUUUUGCCAAGUCAUCAACCCUUGUGAAUCACCGACGCAUUCACACUGGGGAGAGGCCAUUUAAGUGUGACAUAUGUGACAAGGCAUUUGCACAGGUAUCGGGCCUGGUGAAUCACCGACGUAUCCACACUGGGGAAAAACCUUUCACAUGCAAAGUGUGCAACAAGUCUUUCUCAGAGUCAUCGACCCUCCGGAUACACCUACGCAUUCACACAGGGGAGAAGCCAUUCACGUGUGAGGUGUGUGACAAAUCAUUCUCGUCAUCAUCGGAUCUCCGUAAACACCAACGUACUCACACAGGAGAAAGACCGUUCAUGUGUGAGGUGUGUGACAAAUCAUUCUCGUACUCAUCACAUCUCCACACGCACCGACGCAUCCACACUGGGGAGAAACUGUUCAAGUGUGAAGUGUGUGACAAGUCAUUCUCUGAUUCAUCAAGUCUCUUGCUCCAUCAGAGGAUUCACACAGGCGAGAAACCAUUCACAUGCAAGUUAUGCAACAAGUCAUUCUCGCAGUCAUCGACCCUUCGCAUACAUCACCGUAUUCAUACAGGGGAGAAACCAUUUACAUGUGAGGUGUGUGACAAAUCAUUCUCACUGUCAUCGAAUCUCAACACACACAAACGCAUUCACACUGGGGAGAAACCAUUCAGAUGUGAGACAUGUGACAAAUCGUUCACACAGUCAUCGACCCUCAGCAUGCACAGACUCAUUCACACUGGGGAGAAAGCAUUCACUUGUGAGGUGUGUGACAAAUCAUUCUCAAAUUCAUCAAGACUCCUGCUCCAUCAGAGGAUUCACACAGGGGAAAAACCAUUCACAUGUGAAGUGUGUGAUAAAUCAUUCUCCGUGUCAUCAACACUUCGCAGACACCAACGCAUCCAUACAGGGGAGAAACCGUUCACUUGUGGAUUCUGUGACAAAUCAUUCUCAGAUUUAUCACACCUUCACAGACACCACCAUAUCCACACUGGAGAGAAACUGUUUAAGUGUGAAGCUUGUGAGAAAUCAUUCUGUGACUCAUCAAGUCUCCUGCUCCAUCAGAGGAUUCACACAGGGGAGAAACCAUUCACAUGUGAGAUGUGUGACAAAUCAUUCUCAGUGUUAAAUUCCCUCCACAAGCACCAACGCAUUCAUUCAGGGGAGAAACCAUUUACAUGUGAAGUGUGCGACAAAUCAUUCUCUGAGUCAUCAAACCUUCGCAGACACCAACGCAUUCAUACAGGGCAGAAACUGUUCAUGUGCCAAAUUUGCAACAAAUCAUUCCAGAGAUCCUGGAACCUCCUGCUCCAUCAGAGGAUCCACACAGGGGAGUAAUCCUUCAACUGUGAGGUUAGUGUUGAACGUUUUGUAAUUUAUUUGGUCACCUAGUUCAAGACAGGAUUCACACAGGGGAGAAAUGCUUUAUGUGCCAUGUUUGUACCAAGGUUUUUGCACAGUCAGCAUAUCCGUUUUCCAUCAACACAUUCUCACAGGAGAGAAAUCCUGUCAGUGAAUGUUCAGUAAUAAAGCCUCCACAUAGUUGAUGGAUGUCCUGAAACCCACACAACAACUACCUGACCAAUUCUUGCACAAUUUGUAGUCAGGAUGUGUGUAACAGUGUACACAGUCUCAUGGUGCAGGGUGUUCAGUGGGACUGGGACACGGAACAAGAAGCAGCUUUCACUCCCAUCAAACACCUAGUGAUGACAUCACCAGUGCUGAGGGAUUAUGAUGUCAACAAUGGAGCCACCCUGCAGUGUGAUGUCAGUGACACAGGACUUGGAGCAACCUCCAGGCAGUGAGGGCAACCCGUUGUGUUUGUAUCCAGAGAGUUAACACAAACUGGAAAACACUACACAGAUCAAGAAAGUGGGUCUGAUUAUCGUCUUUUCCUUUCACCAGUGUGUGUUUCGGAGAGAGAAAGUUAUGGUAGAGUCUCACCACAAGCCAUCUUUCUGAAGCCGUUCUGUUUGCGACAAAGAAUUUGCUCAGGCUAUUGCAUAGAUAUCAUUUGGAAGUGAAGUAAAUCAAGGAAAACAGAUGUACAUUCCACUCAUGCUGUUGGGAGCUGCUCUCUCUUUGAAAAACGUUGAUGCUCACAGAGUUUGAGAUCUUCCAGAUUCAAUAAGAAGCAACAGCACAGCAUGUUCUGGAAAUCAUCAAACCACGUCUGGGGCUGUGGUCAUUUCUGUGAGUUCUUGACAAUCCCAUGUAUGGAGAAUGGACAAAACAGUGGUUAAAGAGAGAAAGGCAACGAUGAAUGAAAAAAACCUACAAUGGACAGCCUUUUGAUCACUAUUUCGUUGACAAGGAUCAAAAAGAUGUGAUUUUCUGCUUCAAACAUCUGAAGGAUCUUGUUAUUUUCCUACUGGUCUUGAUAAGAUGAGAACCGAGACUAUUUGCCUCUAAGAGAGCCUUGGAUAAGAGUUGCUGAAGUUAUUUUCUUAUAAGCAAAAGGUGAACUGUGAUGAAUCUACACAAACUGAUUAAUGAGAGAGAAAGCCCCAAGCUGGGCAGGGGCAAAGGUGAGUACAGCAGCCUGGCAACAAACACAGAUCAGAGGAGAUUGAAUAAAAAGAUAUAUGCCAUUGUUUUCUGACAUCCUGAUAAACCUUGAGGAACUUGGGAGGGUCAGCAUGAUUAUUAGGGGGAAAUGGUCUGGUCAAUCACUGAGGUCGUGAAAAGGUCUCAUUCCACAGUUUGACCACCCGAGGAUAGAAUAUGGAACCUACUUUUAUUGUCAUGCGUACUCCAUUGAGGAAGUAUAGGAGUGCUUUGAUAAGCUUUUACAAUGUCUGCUUUUUAUGGCGCCAUCUUAGGUACAAAUACCUAGGUACAAAUCUUGGAUACAAAAGAGGAAUAAAAAGUAGAGAUAACAAGGUGUAGAGCUGGAUGAACACAGCAGGCCAAGUAGCAUCAGAGGAGCAGGAAAGCUGACGUUUUCGGGUCUGGACCAUUCUUCAGAAAUGGGGGAGGGGAAGGGGAUUCUGAAAUAAAUAUUCUCAGGAAUAAAAAGUAGUUGCAUUACUUUACAGAGUUUUGAAAACUAAUUUAGAAAUAAGACAUAGUUAAAGCAUUGACCUUACAGUCAGGUAAAAAUUUUCAAAUAGACAUUACAUGGCAGCAGCUCAGUGCAGGGCCUCUGCAUGUGUUCUAACCGCCCACAGCACAAACCGGUCCAACAACCAUCCCUGCUGUGCUACAAGCCUCCAGUCCGCUCCGUACUGGCACUCGGCUGUUCUAAGAUAAGUUGCAGGACUGCCUCCCCUGCACCAGUCUCUGUCCGGGAUUCACUCCCCAUGCAUUUCUCUGGGACUCGGAUGGACCCCUACCACAUGGGAAUGCCAAUUUCCAGUUUUGAGAGUUUAUUUUGGAGAGCAGCUCCAUAAAUGUAGCUUUGUGAAUACAUUCUCCAUACAGAAGCCUAAUUACACUACACACUUGUUCUGCGUCAUUUUGUAUCCAGACUAAGACCAAAAUCUAAAAUGUGGACAGUCUGGGGAAAAGAGGAGGUGUCUACAGUUUCUUCAUUCACUUUGCAAUGUGGCUGUGUUCCAGUAAACAGGGGUCAGAGUGAGAGGGGAGGGUUAUACAACAAGCCCAGAAUCUGGGGAGUUAUUCAUGUAGCCCUGACAACAGUUUUAAUCCAUGGAUGGAUUUGGAAAACAAGUUCAAAACUAACUAAAAAUAAGACUGAACUUUCCUGUGCAGAAUGGGUGAUUCCUUGUUUUAUUCCUAACACAUUGUUAGAACCGUGUCUAAACAAUAAAACUUUCUUGAGUGAAUGAAA
This is an RNA transcript of Rhincodon typus (whale shark), 4265 nucleotides long. It is a transcript of the gene named zinc finger protein 271-like, with no coding region annotated. The record is from RefSeq and is a predicted model, not a curated record. NCBI's taxonomy places the organism in Eukaryota, Metazoa, Chordata, Chondrichthyes, Orectolobiformes, Rhincodontidae. The transcript has 2 exons.